UUGAAAGGGAAACGAUUGAAGUCAGUCGUGCUGGCGCGAAAUCAACCUUCUCGUCUUGAGAUCACAUGGCGUGGCGAGCCUCAAAACCGUCACGAAGCGUGAACUCUUUGUGAAAUGGAGCACUUUCGUGUCCGCUGGUUAACAUCAAUUUCGAACGUCAUAAAAAGGCUGGAGGGAUGUGGCUCCUUCGGGAGUGUUAUAACCUUUAGCGGAAUGUGGUGUUCGGGAUUGAGGAUUGCAACGAAUACCUUUAGGGCUGUUCCACCUGGCUUCUCUUUGGUAUCCUGGUGACGACAGCUUGCUGACGUCGUUAGGAUUCGCCUUUGAACAGGUUAGAGUGUGAGCAAAUUCGUUAAGGAUGUUGACGUA
RNAcentral lists this ribosomal RNA (369 nucleotides) under uncultured Glomeromycotina. RNAcentral's name for it is "LSU rRNA". The record is from RNAcentral. Lineage: Eukaryota; Fungi; Glomeromycota.